This is a non-coding RNA of Trichonephila inaurata madagascariensis, 73 nucleotides long. The record is from the annotation of a GenBank genome assembly. NCBI's taxonomy places the organism in Eukaryota, Metazoa, Arthropoda, Arachnida, Araneae, Nephilidae.
GUCUCUGUAGUGCAAUGGAUAGCACAUCGGACUUCUAAUCCAAAGGUCAUGGGUUCGAAUCCCACCUGGGAUG